CCUACGGGAGGCAGCAGUGAGGAAUAUUGGUCAAUGGACGGGAGGCUGAACCAGCCAAGUAGCGUGAGGGACGACUGCCCUAUGGGUUGUAAACCUCUUUUAUAAGGGAAGAAAACAUGCUACGCGUAGCCUGUUGCAUAUACCUUAUGAAUAAGCAUCGGCUAACUCCGUGCCAGCAGCCGCGGUAAUACGGAGGAUGCGAGCGUUAUCCGGAUUUAUUGGGUUUAAAGGGUGCGUAGGCGGUUUUUUAAGUCAGUGGUAAAACUUCGGGGCUAAACCUUGAAUUGCCAUUUAAACUGGAAGUCUUGAGUUCAGAAGAGGUAGGCGGAAUUCGUGGAGUAGCGGUGAAAUGCUUAGAUAUAACGUAGAACUCCGAUUGCGAAGGCAGCUUACCGGACUGCAACUGACGCUGAUGCACGAGAGUGUGGGUAUCGAACAGGAUUAGAUACCCGGGUAGUC
RNAcentral lists this ribosomal RNA (459 nucleotides) under uncultured bacterium. RNAcentral describes it as "partial 16S ribosomal RNA". It matches the Rfam family "Bacterial small subunit ribosomal RNA", at positions 338 to 795 of the family's 1533-position model. The record is from RNAcentral.